GCGGGAUAGCUCAGUAGGUAGAGCAACGGACUGAAAAUCCGUGUGUCCCCAGUUCAAUUCUGGGUCCC
Molecule: transfer RNA, 68 nt
Filed under: Cloacibacillus evryensis
Lineage: Bacteria; Thermotogati; Synergistota; Synergistia; Synergistales; Synergistaceae
Also listed under: 3 other names
Rfam family: tRNA
About the family: Transfer RNA (tRNA) molecules are approximately 80 nucleotides in length. Their secondary structure includes four short double-helical elements and three loops (D, anti-codon, and T loops).
Source: RNAcentral